CUUCUUCCUCCUGUUGGUAUAUACUGUAUAUUUUAUAUAUAUGGUUGUAGCAGAGUGAAUCAACUUCCGUGAUGACGUUGGGAAAGCCAGUUGUAGGCCGUCAACAGCGCCAUGGAGCUCGGCCUGCAGGGGGAGUAAAAAUUUUAAAUAUAUGCGCACGUAGCAUCUGCUGUACUGUUAACGGCGAGAGAUUUGAGGACGAUGGGACCCACAUAAAGAUAAAGGUACCGACUUUCCGUCCCCCAAACUCACGCGGGGAUGCCACGUGACAAUCCUGUUCCGUACCGACGGUCUGACGUGUCUUUCACUCCGUCAGUCGCCCCCGACACAUCACUUGCACACGCAAGACCCA
This 352-nucleotide long non-coding RNA is filed under the name Carica papaya (papaya). RNAcentral's name for it is "long non-coding RNA (CPAP_LNC004629)". The record is from RNAcentral. Lineage: Eukaryota; Viridiplantae; Streptophyta; Magnoliopsida; Brassicales; Caricaceae.